GGGCCCGCACAAGCGGUGGAGCAUGUGGUUUAAUUCGACGCAACGCGAAGAACCUUACCCAGGCUUGAACUGCAGGUGACACUCUACGAAAGUAGACUUCCGCAAGGACGCCUGUAGAGGUGCUGCAUGGCUGUCGUCAGCUCGUGUCGUGAGAUGUUGGGUUAAGUCCCGCAACGAGCGCAACCCUUGUCUUCUGUUGCCAUCGGGUCAUGCCGGGCACUCUGAAGAGACUGCCGGUGACAAACCGGAGGAAGGUGGGGAUGACGUCAAGUCAGCAUGGCCUUUAUGUCUGGGGCCACACACGUGCUACAAUGGCCGGUACAAACCGUCGCGAGCCCGCGAGGGGGAGCUAAUCGGAGAAAGCCGGUCUCAGUUCGGAUUGUAGGCUGCAACUCGCCUGCAUGAAGUUGGAAUCGCUAGUAAUCGCGGAUCAGCACGCCGCGGUGAAUACGUUCCCGGGCCUU
Molecule: ribosomal RNA, 464 nt
Filed under: uncultured bacterium
Lineage: Bacteria
Description: bacterial SSU rRNA
Rfam family: Bacterial small subunit ribosomal RNA
Source: RNAcentral